This 478-nucleotide ribosomal RNA is filed under the name uncultured bacterium. RNAcentral's name for it is "partial 16S ribosomal RNA". It matches the Rfam family "Bacterial small subunit ribosomal RNA", at positions 29 to 523 of the family's 1533-position model. The record is from RNAcentral.
AACAAACGCUGGCGGCGUGCCUAAUACAUGCAAGUCGAACGGGGAAAGCUUUCGGGUGAGUACUAGUGGCGCACGGGUGAGGAACGCGUGGAUAAUCUGCCUUAGAGUGGGGGAUAACUAGUCGAAAGAUUAGCUAAUACCGCAUAAGACCACAGGAGCUGCGGCUCAAGGGGUCAAAGGUUUUUCGCUCUAAGAUGAGUCCGCGUAAGAUUAGCUAGUUGGUGAGGUAACGGCUCACCAAGGCGACGAUCUUUAACUGGUCUGAGAGGAUGAUCAGUCACACUGGAACUGAGACACGGUCCAGACUCCUACGGGAGGCAGCAGUAGGGAAUAUUGCACAAUGGAGGAAACUCUGAUGCAGCGACGCCGCGUGAGUGAUGAAGGCCUUCGGGUCGUAAAGCUCUGUCGCAGGGGAAUAACACAAUGAAUGUACCCUGUAAGAAAGGAUCGGCUAACUUCGUGCCAGCCGCCGCGGUAA